CUCUACCUGGAGGUCCCUCUUUUUUGGAGUAUUUGGACACCUGUACCUGGAGAUCAUUGUGUUUCCUAUUGAAAAAGGAGGGGAAGCAGACAACAGGUCGUCUAUUCCCAGCUGAUGAAGGUUUCAAGAAAUUCCAGAAGUUAAACUCUUACCACUCUCAGCAAGACAGCCUGUGCCUCAGGCAUGAUGCCUGGGCUUACCUGUGUUUCCAGCCAAACUUACAGAGCUGGGCUUCCUCAGGCAACAUGAACUUCAUCAGUGCAGCAUUUUUUUGGAGUGUCCAGUUUGAGGUAAGACAGGACUCUCAGACAUGCAUUCUUAAAGUGGAAUACCCCAUGCAGUCUGUUUUCCUGAAGGAUUUACCACUGCAGUUUUUCAUACUAUGUGGGAAUAGUUGGAUCAUCAUAUGGAAGCAGCAGAAGGAGGUGAAAAAAGAAGUGUGCUAUAUCUGCAAGACAAAUGGUAUUAGGAGGCUCCGGUCAGCAAAAUCACUUUAUAGAGGUUUACAGUGUGAACACCCAACAGAUUUUUUACUUUCCUGUCAUAUCGAGAGAGAGAGAAUCUUUUUUCUGAGCAGAGUACUAUUACGGAUACAAUAAUCAGUAUAUACAGUGAAAUUUGUCUGAGACAUCUGAAAUACCUGAUAAAACUUUCUUGGAUGACUACUUUGUGGGUGCUGGGGGCUUUUCAGUCAUCCUUGUUUCUCUAAUAAAAUUGCAAGUCCACUUUUGUAUUGAAUUUCUAUGAGCCAUAUAUUGUCAUUUUGUGCCUGUCUGAAAUAACACUGUAUUGGUGACUUGCUAGUUUCCAAAAAAGUCACGUUCAGAACAUUUUUCUGCUGAAAUUAAAAUUCCUCUGGUGUUGAAUGUAGCAGUUCCAAAAACAACCAAAUCUUUUUCAGUUCCUGGAAUGCCCCAGCCACCCUAAUGUAGCUCAGUCUUUAAGACACGAUACUAUAAAUCAAAGUGUUACAGUAAAUAUCUCUAGCUGCUAAUGGCAUGCUUUUACAACCAUGUGUGCUUUUGUCAUUUCUUUUUCUUCUUAAAAUCUGUAAUAGUUACAGAUUUACAGAGCAGAUGAGUUUGCACUCUAAAUGCUAUCCAAAUUACCUGUAUUUCAGUUGCCCACAGGAGAUGAUUGUCCUGAAGAGAACUUGAUUAUGAGGUCAUAUAGCUCAUUGCACACCAAAAUAAAUUGUGUUCGCUCUCUUUCAGAAUUUGCUACAGUAGAUGCAAGUAAAUCAGUGCUAGCAAACUGUGUGCUGUAGCUUGGCUGUAUUGUAGGCCUUUCUGAAGUGGGUUGAAUAAAGAAAAUCAAAUAUUUUU
Molecule: long non-coding RNA, 1325 nt
Organism: Gallus gallus (chicken)
Lineage: Eukaryota; Metazoa; Chordata; Aves; Galliformes; Phasianidae
Source: Ensembl